CAAUAGCGUAUAUUAAAGUUGUUGCGGUUAAAAAGCUCGUAGUUGGAUUUCUGUUGGGACGACCGUUCCGCCCUCUGGGUGAGUAUCUGGUUCGGCCUUGGCAUCUUCUUGGAGAACGUCGCUGCACUUGAUUGUGUGGCGCGGUAUCCAAGACUUUUACUUUGAGGAAAUCAGAGUGUUUCUAGCAGGCAGCUCGCUCUUGCAUAGGUUAGCAUGGGAUAAUUUAAUAGGACUCUGGUGCUAUUUUGUUGGUUUCGAACACCGGAGUAAUGAUUAAAAGGGGACAGUCAGGGGCGACUCGUAUUCCGUCGAGAGAGGUGAAAUUACUCAGACCAAUGGAAGACGAACCACUGCGAAAGCAUUUGCCAGGGAGUGUUUUCUACUGAUCAAGAACGAAAGUUAAGGGGAGUCGAAGACGAUCAGAUACCAU
This 430-nucleotide ribosomal RNA is filed under the name uncultured eukaryote. RNAcentral describes it as "bacterial SSU rRNA". It matches the Rfam family "Eukaryotic small subunit ribosomal RNA", at positions 592 to 1018 of the family's 1831-position model. The record is from RNAcentral.